GACGAACGCUGGCGGCGUGCUUAACACAUGCAAGUCGAACGGAAAGGCGCUGCUCUUGUGGGGUGCUCGAGUGGCGAACGGGGGAGUAAAACGCGAGUAACCUGCCCUUGUCUUUGGGAUAAAAUCUGGGAACUGGGGCGCUUAUAGCAUAGGAGAUCCUGAUGCAUGGUGGUGGUUGGUAAGUUACGGCGGUUGGGGAUGGAAUCGCGGCUUAUCAGCUUGUUGGUGAGGUAGUGGCUUACAAAGGCUUCGACGGGUAGCCGGCCUGAGAGGGUGACCGGCCACAAUGGGACUAAGGUAGGGACCAGACUGCUACGUGAGGCAGCAGGGGAGAAUAUUGCGCAAUAGGCGGAAGCCUGGUGCAACGAUGUCGCGUGCGGGAUGACGGCCUUCUGGGUGUAAACCGCUUUCGCCUGUAACGAAGCGUGAGUGACGGUAACGGGUAAGGAAGCACCGGCUAACUACGUG
RNAcentral lists this ribosomal RNA (468 nucleotides) under uncultured bacterium. RNAcentral's name for it is "partial 16S ribosomal RNA". It matches the Rfam family "Bacterial small subunit ribosomal RNA", at positions 28 to 507 of the family's 1533-position model. The record is from RNAcentral.